Molecule: ribosomal RNA, 473 nt
Filed under: uncultured organism
Description: partial 16S ribosomal RNA
Rfam family: Bacterial small subunit ribosomal RNA
Source: RNAcentral
UACACUCCUGCGGGAGGCAGCAGUGGGGAAUAUUGCACAAUGGGCGCAAGCCUGAUGCAGCCAUGCCGCGUGUAUGAAGAAGGCCUUCGGGUUGUAAAGUACUUUCAGCGGGGAGGAAGGCAAUACGGUUAAUAACCGUGUUGAUUGACGUUACCCGCAGAAGAAGCACCGGCUAACUCCGUGCCAGCAGCCGCGGUAAUACGGAGGGUGCAAGCGUUAAUCGGAAUUACUGGGCGUAAAGCGCACGCAGGCGGUCUGUCAAGUCGGAUGUGAAAUCCCCGGGCUCAACCUGGGAACUGCAUUCGAAACUGGCAGGCUUGAGUCUUGUAGAGGGGGGUAGAAUUCCAGGUGUAGCGGUGAAAUGCGUAGAGAUCUGGAGGAAUACCGGUGGCGAAGGCGGCCCCCUGGACAAAGACUGACGCUCAGGUGCGAAAGCGUGGGGAGCAAACAGGAUUAGAUACCCUUGUAGUCCC